RNAcentral lists this ribosomal RNA (254 nucleotides) under uncultured bacterium. Its description in RNAcentral is "partial 16S ribosomal RNA". It matches the Rfam family "Bacterial small subunit ribosomal RNA", at positions 524 to 776 of the family's 1533-position model. The record is from RNAcentral.
UACGUAGGGGGCAAGCGUUGUCCGGAUUUAUUGGGCGUAAAGCGCUCGUAGGCGGCUUGGUAAGUCGGAUGUGAAAUCUCCAGGCUCAACCUGGAGGGGUCAUUCGAUACUGCCAUGACUAGAGGUCGGUAGGGGAGUGUGGAAUUCCUGGUGGAGCGGUGAAAUGCGCAGAUAUCAGGAGGAACACCCGUAGCGAAGGCGGCACUCUGGGCCGAUUCUGACACUGAGGAGCGAAAGCGUGGGGAGCGAACAGG